CCUACGGGAGGCAGCAGUGAGGAAUAUUGGUCAAUGGACGAGAGUCUGAACCAGCCAAGUAGCGUGAAGGAUGACUGCCCUAUGGGUUGUAAACUUCUUUUAUAUGGGAAUAAAAUGUUCCACGUGUGGGAUUUUGUAUGUACCAUAUGAAUAAGGAUCGGCUAACUCCGUGCCAGCAGCAGCGGUAAUACGGAGGAGCCGAGCGUUAUCCGGAUUUAUUGGGUUUAAAGGAAGCGUAGGUGGAUUGUUAAGUCAGUUGUGAAAGUUUGCGGCUCAACCGUAAAAUUGCAGUUGAAACUGGCAGUCUUGUGUACAGUAGAGGUGGGCGGAAUGCGUGGUGUAGCGGUGAAAUGCUUAGAUAUCACGAAGAACUCCGAUUGCGAAGGCAGUUCACUGGACUGCAACUGACACUGAGGCUCGAAAGUGUGGGUAUCAAACAGGAUUAGAUACCCUGGUAGUC
This 460-nucleotide ribosomal RNA is filed under the name uncultured bacterium. RNAcentral describes it as "partial 16S ribosomal RNA". It matches the Rfam family "Bacterial small subunit ribosomal RNA", at positions 338 to 795 of the family's 1533-position model. The record is from RNAcentral.